This is a long non-coding RNA of Apis mellifera (honey bee), 570 nucleotides long. RefSeq lists it as uncharacterized. NCBI's taxonomy places the organism in Eukaryota, Metazoa, Arthropoda, Insecta, Hymenoptera, Apidae. The record is from RefSeq and is a predicted model, not a curated record. The transcript has 2 exons.
GCCGCCCGUCACUCCUCGUCCUAGCUUCACAGCCGCCACCCUCUUGCCUCUUGCUCUUCCCUCUCACAAACUCACGGGCCCUCCUUCCUCGCCGCGCCUCUCCUCUCUAGUCCGCACGUUUGGUCUCGCGUUCCCGCUCUUUCCCCUCUCAAACAAGCUCGACGUCGUGCCUCACCGUUCCCUCCCGCCGCGUCUCACCAAAGUUUCCGACACACCGGUAACUUAUCGGAAUUUACUCGUUAUUCUGAAUUCGUGAACGACCGCGUGCUCCACGAUAAUACCGUGCACAAGAAUACGAUGGAUGUGGAAUAGUAUGCAGUAGCGCAAUUUGAGAAAAGCACUGACAAUGUCGACGAAUAAUCGGUAAUGAAAUGCCGUCAUGGGUCUCGAAACAACUCCAAGGACCAAGGCAAGGGUAGGUCAGUGCGUUGGGUAAGAGGAAACGCACACACUCUCCCAUCUUUCUGAACACGUCAUACGAUCUUAAUUACAUAGCCCGGCUUGCAAACGAUACAGGUAAUACAUUUACUUUGUAACGGAGAAGGGAAUAAAUAAUCAAUUUGAUUAUCA